GGAACAACAUGGUUGGUUAAGGCAUAUUGAGCAGGGCUAGAGGCUCUACAGUGUAAUAAGACAGUAAUCACUAACCAGGACAGUAAUGGAUGAGGCAUAUUGAUAUUACAGAGAGGCAUGCGUAGCCAGGUGAACAUAUGGAUCCAGUGAGUGGUUGGGCUGACUGGGGACAGACAGUUAGCAGGCCGAUGCUAACAAGCUAACAGUUAGUAGGCCGGGGCUAAACAAGCUAGCAGUUAGCAGACCGGGGCUGGCAAGCUAGCAGUUAGCAGACCGGGUUAGCAAGCAAUCAGUUAGCAGACCGGGGCUAGCAGUUAGCAGACCGGGGCAGGCAAGCUAGCAGUUAGCAGACCGGGGCAAAGAGGUUGGAAAAAUUAACACAAGGCCUACAGUUGUUCACAUCGCUACAACAGAUGAUUUGUGUGAUCAGGACCUGAGCCCUAGGACCAUGCCUCAGGACUACCUGGUAUGAUGACUCCUUGCUGUCCCCAGUCCACCUGGCCGUGCUGCUGCUCCGGUUUCAACUGUUCUGCCUGCGGCUAUGGAACCCUGACCUGUUCACCGGACGUGCUUGUUGCGCCCUCGACAGCUACUGUGAUUGUUGUUGUUUGGCCAUGCUGGUCAUUUAUGAACAUUUUAACAUUUUAACAUCUUGACCAUGUUCUGUUGUGGUAUCCGCCCUGCACAGCCAGAAGAGGACUGGCCACCCCUCAUAGCCUGGUUCCUCUCUAGGUUUCUUCCUAGGUUUUUGGCCUUUCUAGGGAGUUUUUCCUAGGGAGUUUUUCCUAGCCACCGUGCUUCUUUCACAUGCUUUGCUUGCUGUUUGGGGUUUUAGGCUGGGUUUCUGUACAGCACUUUGAGAAUAUCAGCU
RNAcentral lists this long non-coding RNA (871 nucleotides) under Salmo salar (Atlantic salmon). RNAcentral describes it as "lncRNA (ENSSSAG00000113154.1)". Lineage: Eukaryota; Metazoa; Chordata; Actinopteri; Salmoniformes; Salmonidae. The record is from RNAcentral.